UGGGGAAUUUUGGACAAUGGGCGAAAGCCUGAUCCAGCAAUGCCGCGUGUGUGAAGAAGGCCUUCGGGUUGUAAAGCACUUUUGUCCGGAAAGAAAUCCUUGGCUCUAAUACAGUCGGGGGAUGACGGUAUGGAAGAAUAAGCACCGGCUAACUAUGUGCCAGCAGCCGCGGUAAUACGUAGGGUGCAAGCGUUAAUCGGAAUUACUGGGCGUAAAGCGUGCGCAGGCGGUUUGCUAAGACCAUGUGAAAUCCCCGGGGCUCAACCUGGGAACUGCAUUGGUGACUGGCGGGCUAGAGUACGGCAGAGGGGGGUAGAAUUCCACGUGUAGCAGUGGAAAUGCGUAGAGAUGUGGGGGGAAUACCGAUGGCGAAGGCAGCCCCCUGGGCCAAUACUGACGCUCAUGCACGAAAGCGUGGGGGAGCAAACAGGAUU
Molecule: ribosomal RNA, 434 nt
Filed under: uncultured bacterium
Lineage: Bacteria
Description: partial 16S ribosomal RNA
Rfam family: Bacterial small subunit ribosomal RNA
Source: RNAcentral